ACUCAAAUGAAUUGACGGGGGCCCGCACAAGCAGCGGAGCGUGUGGUUUAAUUCGAUGCGACGCGCAGAACCUUACCUGGGUUUGACAUGACACUGCACCGGGGGUAAUGCCCCGUCCCGGCAACGGGCGGUGUCACAGGUGCUGCAUGGCUGUCGUCAGCUCGUGCCGUGAGGUGUUGGGUUAAGUCCCCUAACGAGCGCAACCCCCGGGGUCCGUUGCAUACAACGUUUUCGGGCCCGACUGCCGUGCGCAACACGGAGGAAGGUGGGGAUGAUGUCAAGUCAGCACGGCCCUUACGUCCAGGGCGACACACACGCUACAAUGGCCGGUACAACGGGUUGCCAAGCCGCGAGGCGGAGCCAAUCCCUGCCAAAGCCGGUCUCAGUUCGGAUUGCAGGCUGCAACUCGCCUGCAUGAAGCUGGAGUUGCUAGUAACCGCGGGUCAGCACACCGCGGUGAAUACGUUCCCGGGCCUUGCACACACCGCCCGU
This 492-nucleotide ribosomal RNA is filed under the name uncultured bacterium. Its description in RNAcentral is "partial 16S ribosomal RNA". It matches the Rfam family "Bacterial small subunit ribosomal RNA", at positions 899 to 1397 of the family's 1533-position model. The record is from RNAcentral.